Molecule: ribosomal RNA, 515 nt
Filed under: uncultured bacterium
Lineage: Bacteria
Description: partial 16S ribosomal RNA
Rfam family: Bacterial small subunit ribosomal RNA
Source: RNAcentral
GAUGAACGCUGGCGGCGUGCCUAAUACAUGCAAGUCGAGCGAAUGGAUUAAGAGCUUGCUCUUAUGAAGUUAGCGGCGGACGGGUGAGUAACACGUGGGUAACCUGCCCAUAAGACUGGGAUAACUCCGGGAAACCGGGGCUAAUACCGGAUAACAUUUUGAACCGCAUGGAUCGAAAUUGAAAGGCGGCUUCGGCUGUCACUUAUGGAUGGACCCGGGUCGCAUUAGCUAGUUGGUGAGGUAACGGCUCACAAAGGCAACGAUGCGUAGCCGAACUGAGAGGGUGAUCGGCCACACGGGGACUGAGACACGGCCCAGACGCCUACGGGAGGCAGCAGUAGGGAAUCUUCCGCAAUGGACGAAAGUCUGACGGAGCAACGCCGCGUGGGUGAUGAAGGCUUUCGGGUCGUAAAACUCUGUUGUUAGGGAAGAACAAGUGCUAGUUGAAUAAGCUGGCACCUUGACGGUACCUAACCAGAAAGCCGCGGCUAACUACGUGCCAGCAGCCGCGGUAA